AGUGAACGCUGGCGGUAGGCCUAACACAUGCAAGUCGAACGGCAGCACAGUAAGAGCUUGCUCUUACGGGUGGCGAGUGGCGGACGGGUGAGGAAUACAUCGGAAUCUACUUUUUCGUGGGGGAUAACGUAGGGAAACUUACGCUAAUACCGCAUACGACCUACGGGUGAAAGCAGGGGAUCUUCGUACCUUGCGCGUUUGAAUGAGCCGAUGUCGGAUUAGCUAGUUGGCGGGGUAAAGGCCCACCAAGGCGACGAUCCGUAGCUGGUCUGAGAGGAUGAUCAGCCACACUGGAACUGAGACACGGUCCAGACUCCUACGGGAGGCAGCAGUGGGGAAUAUUGGACAAUGGGCACAAGCCUGAUCCAGCAAUACCGCGUGGGUGAAGAAGGCCUUCGGGUUGUAAAGCCCUUUUGUUGGGAAAGAAAAGCAGCAGGUUAAUACCCCGCUGUUCUGACGGUACCCAAAGAAUAAGCACCGGCUAACUUCGUG
Molecule: ribosomal RNA, 492 nt
Filed under: uncultured bacterium
Lineage: Bacteria
Description: partial 16S ribosomal RNA
Rfam family: Bacterial small subunit ribosomal RNA
Source: RNAcentral